Molecule: non-coding RNA, 85 nt
Organism: Felis catus (domestic cat)
Lineage: Eukaryota; Metazoa; Chordata; Mammalia; Carnivora; Felidae
Source: Rfam
GCCUGGGUGGCUCAGCCGGUUGAGCAUCCGACUUCAACUCAGGUCAUGAUCUCGCGGUCCGUGAGUUCGAGCCCCGCGUCGGGCU